CUGGGGCGCCCUGGGCGGCAGGUGCAGGUGGCAGGUGGCGCCCCCAGCUCAGCGCACAGCUGCUCCCGCGGUGCUUCUGCCUUGCGGGGGGCUUCCCGUUGAUUAGGGACGGCCCCACCUGUCCUCUAACCUAACCGGCUGCUCCAGGCCCUGGCCAGCUUUCUGUGCCUAAAAAGUCUCAGAAAACUAGUGGAAUAAGAAAGCAAAAUCACCUGCUAACACCUAGAGGGAAGCUUCCAGGUCUCGGCUGUUGUAGAUACUGAAGUAAGCACAGGGGUGCGUAGGUCUUUUUGAAUUAGGGUUUUUGUUCUCUUUGGGAGGCUGAAGUCGCAGAGGCGGGUGGAAGACUGUGAGCCAAGGUCUUCAAUGAAGGAGGCAGGAAGAGAAGAUGUGACGAGCCUAAAAUUAGUAAGAACUUUUUAGUGGCAAACAGAUGAUGAAUGUUGCAGACCCCAUGUCCUGAGCUGGAAAUGUGGAAGGAUGGAAAGUCCCGCCCAGAAGCAGAGCCUUCGAGGAGACAAAGUGCAGUAAACACCUGGCGGUCGGCCCAGGCUUCCAAGAACAGUAAGGAUUGCGUGCACUUUCAUAGCCCGAGAGCACAGCGAAACCUCUGAAAGCCUAAUAGAGUGCUGGCGGGCUGAUUCCUCAGCCAAAAAGAAAAAAAAAAUGCAUUUAGAAGAUAAUGAAAAAAUACAGGAAGUAAAUGAAAUGAAAGGUUAAUAGGAGAAACUGCAGCCCUAGAAAGUCUCUCACAGGAGGGACGUUUGAGCUGAGAUCUGAAUGACAAAAGGAGGAGCCAGCCCUUCAAAAAAAUGUCAGGAAUGAGUUCCCCCAGGAGCAGGAGGACUCUGUGACCAGUGUCAGAUGGGCCUGUCAGAGCAAGGCGUGUUGCCCCUCCCUUCCGCUUCCCCCUCUCUUGCACUGGGGGAUCUUCCUCCCUUAAAGGAUCUCAAUGAUGACUCUGCUCCACAACCUGAAGUCACACUUGAUAUUUAUGAAGUGCCGUCCCUCCCUGUCAAGGCAGUCUUGCAUCUGUACCCUGAAGAGAGAACCUCCACGGGCCAUAUUACUACCAAGGCUUUGUCCCAUCACACUUUCCACCCCAACAACACACGGAUGUUAUACCCCUGCUAGGACCCACUAUAAUCACUGUUUCCACGCUCACAAAUACAAAAUGCUCUUAUGUUAAGAGAUGGUCAGCAUUUUGUUUUUGUCACAGAAUCAUUAUCUCUAUAGGUUUGCUCUUUGGAUUUUAAGUAAUAAUCUGACAUAGAGGGUACUUACACAGACCAUGGUACUUAGCCAAAGAUAUCCAGAAGGUUUGCUCAAAAACAAUUCUUGUUGGGUCAGCCUUUAUUAAAUCCUCCCCAGGAGCUGAUAUUUUGAGAACAAAAUAUUACUGGUAAAGAGAAGCAUGUGAAGUUUCCAAAAGCAAAAGCGUAUGUAACCAAUGAAAGGAUAAAAUUUCAAGGCCUGUACAGUAAAGCAGCUGUUAGAUGAUUUACUGGAAAAUUCUUCCAAAACAUAACAGAGGCUUCCUACUACAAAGGAAAUAUUUUCCUUCAAGUCCAUACUAUUAAAGUUCAAUAUGUAACAUACUCAAAAGACCUCUCUAAUAAAAUCUGAGAUUUUCACGAAAACCUCCACCUUAGGGACUUGAUUCUCAUUCCAUCCCUCUGCACAGCCCGAGCAUCACUGGUGUGAGAUUCGUGAUGUGUGUUCUAAACUCCAGACUCAUUCCUUCUGUGCAGUUUCCAGUAUCAAUAGCAGAGGCCGGGACUUCAUCUCUCCAGCCUACGAGUGACUCCUGUUAAACUCAGCAAAUCAGAUAACCUCUCACUUGCAAUCAGAGAAAUUAUCUUAGACCUGCCAGCAGAGCUCUGGGGAUUUACAAGGCAAUGAGGACAACUGCAAAGCAAUACUUAAUGAGGGGGAUGAGGGGGGUCAGCAAGGGAGAGAAAAAUAGACUGUUUCCAGUACCUGCCUUAGCUUUCUACAUGGUCGACCAGAGGCAGAAGGCCUUUCUCGGGUGUUCUCCACCUGUUUUGGCCAAGUCCUGGAGGAGAGAAUGAAGGCAACUCUGAGGUAUGCAGCACAUUGCACGCUCACUGCUCCACAGCCCAGAGCAGUGAUGGAUGAGGACCCCAGGCAACGCUUCCCAUCUAGCCUCAUUCUCGACUCUGCUGACCCAUGAGGCCAUUUAUUAGGAGUCAUCGGAAAGCUCUUGGGCUCUGUAAUGCCGUAUAUUCACGUCGAGCAUCCCCUGGCUCAAAUGACAAGGACUCCACCUGUACAAAGGGCAUUACUGAGCUUCCUGGGGCGUAAUUACUCCUGAGGCUUCGAUCCCCACAGGAAAAGCAAAGUGGCAGUGGACAGAGGAGACACAGUGGGGCAAGUCGAGGACGAGGAAAGAUGUGUCCUGCCACCUGCCUCCCUUCCUAUUCUGAACGUGCCAACCAAUUCCAGCCCACCUGUCCCCCAUGUGCCAGAGUGUGGGGCAGGCCCCUGGAGCAAGAGACGUUCUCCUGGGCAGACAGCUCUUUAUCUGAUUCCUGAUUAAUGGUAAAGUGGCUGCUCUCAGCUCUGGAUGUUCACACCAUAAGACAGGACACUUGGCUUCCACACGUGCAUCUGUUUGAUUGAAACUCCAGGCUGCACAGGCCUACUUUUCUGAAGAAAGGAACGUGAAAAGGGCCCAAUGGCAACAGGAACAUUGAUACAGGAAUGGUUUGGUCAAUGACUACGGCAUAUGAGCUAAAGGUCAUAUUUCGGUAAAAUAGCACCAGGAAUAUUCUCCCAGAAGUCCCCACCUCGAUGUUGCUUCAUGGGAAAAGAGGAUUUCCACUACCUCCGUUUGACCUCAGCCUGAACUUCCCAACUGAUGAAGUUCUUCCCUCUGGCUUAUGUCUCAACUCAGGCAAAAGACCCUGCAAGCAAAGCAUGUCAUGAUGGGAACCCUCAAGUAAUAAGGACUGCCCUGAAGUCAGCAAGACCCCAUACGAUCGACCCCAAAGACAAGGAUCACCCUUGACCUUUACCAUCCACCUGCAUGUACCCACCAACUCUUGUCCCACAUUUUCCCUACAUAAACCUGGAAGUACUUUCAGUACAAUGGAGGCAUCUUUGAAAUGCUAGUCCAUGGUCUUCUCAGUGUGGCCUCCCUUUCUUUCUAAAUACCUUUCUUAUUUCACCACCACCCAUCCUCUACACCUUUGGACUCUGUCAGCAGCAAGUGGCUGAAACCUGGUCUGUUUGGGACCCCCAGAGUGAGGUGCUCUUGCACCCCUGUGCCCUGGUCGUGGUGUGGCAUUAGCAAGAAGCUGAUUCACCUACUUCUAAACCAGUCACCAGGAAGGGGGUGGACUCAAGAACCCCGUCCUGGGACAACAGAAGAGCUGGUCCCUCCUGACCAGCUAGGUCACGGCAUCCUAUUUUCCAGGUUGCAUUAGUAAGAAAGAAGCGAGACAGUAGCUGAUGUGCAGAAACACAUACAUUCCCUCCUCGAGGAUCCUUUUGAACAAACAACUACAUCAAAGACAAAAAUCUUCCAAAGUUGAAGAGGGCUGUCCUUUCAGCAAAAUGUGCGAAUGUCUAUAACUUCCACUUCUUUUGCUCAAAAUCUUCUGACCUGGAAGUGCAUUCAUUUAUUUAAUAUUUUUCUUUGCUUAGUGCAGCCCCCGAAUGAAUGUUUACUGAACCAAGGGUCGAUAAUAGUUAUUUUGUGCCUCUAGCGAUAUUAUUUUCUUAUUUGAUUCUCAACAGUUGAGCGGGUGUUUAGAGUCUACUGGAGAUUUUAUUAACAUAAAUAUUUGUGUUAGAUUGAAUAAAAAUAAAAAUACUAACUGUUACAUAACA
Long non-coding RNA from Canis lupus familiaris (dog), 3855 nucleotides. RefSeq lists it as uncharacterized. The transcript is spliced from 6 exons. Lineage: Eukaryota; Metazoa; Chordata; Mammalia; Carnivora; Canidae. The record is from RefSeq and is a predicted model, not a curated record.